This is a non-coding RNA of Pelobates cultripes (western spadefoot toad), 96 nucleotides long. The record is from the annotation of a GenBank genome assembly. Lineage: Eukaryota; Metazoa; Chordata; Amphibia; Anura; Pelobatidae.
ACUAGGGACAGAGUGAGGGAGGUGGUGACUAGUGACAGUCACCACCUCCCUCACUCUGUCACUAGUCACCACCUCCCUCACUGUGUCAGCCCCUCC